Molecule: long non-coding RNA, 209 nt
Filed under: Capsicum annuum
Lineage: Eukaryota; Viridiplantae; Streptophyta; Magnoliopsida; Solanales; Solanaceae
Description: long non-coding RNA (CANN_LNC021030)
Source: RNAcentral
UGGCAAUAUGGUAUGCCCACCCCCAACUAAAAAUUAUGCAUUAUCCCCAACGUGCUAAAAUAAAAUAGAGGGAAGUAAGAAUAUACCUGGGAUGCACUAAGCGCCCAAGUUAGGAGCCUCCUCAGAUAAGGGUAUAAACCAAGCCGAAGGCCAUGGUGGUGGUAUUGAACUAUGAGAAAAUGCACCCACCGCUAGCUCGACACGCCUCC